AGUGAACGCUGACGGCGUGCUUAACACAUGCAAGUCGAACGUGAAAACCUUCGGGUGAGUAAAGUGGCGUCCGGGUGAGUAAUACAUAGGUAAUCUACCUUAAAGUCUGGAGUAACCUGCCGAAAGGCGGGCUAAUACUGGAUAGAGCGAUGAUGUCCGUAAUUGGGCGUUUCGGGAAAGGGAGCUCGCAAGAGCCUUUGCUUUAGGAUGAGCCUAUGUCCCAUUAGCUAGUUGGUAGGGUAACGGCCUACCAAGGCAAUGAUGGUAGCUGGUCUGAGAGGAUGAUCAGCCACACUGGCACUGAAAUACGGGCCAGACUCCUACGGGAGGCAGCAGUGGGGAAUAUUGCGCAAUGGACGAAAGUCUGACGCAGCAACGCCGUGUGAGUGAAGAAGGCCUUCGGGUUGUAAGGCUCUGUCAAGCGGGACGAAAAUCAUUAGGGUUAACAGCCCUAGUGCUUGACGGUACCGCUGGAGGAAGCACCGGCUAACUACGUGCCAGCAGCCGCGGUAAUACGUAGGGUGCGAGCGUUACUCGGAAUUAUUGGGCGUAAA
RNAcentral lists this ribosomal RNA (554 nucleotides) under uncultured bacterium. RNAcentral's name for it is "bacterial SSU rRNA". It matches the Rfam family "Bacterial small subunit ribosomal RNA", at positions 28 to 564 of the family's 1533-position model. The record is from RNAcentral.